AAGGGAGACCUAAUUCGGGUAGGAGACGAAAAAANAGUAGUCCCUACCAAGAAUCAAUCCCAAAAGGUCGGAGCGAGGCGAAAUUGGCUUUCAAACUAGGUUCUGGGUUCACACAAGACCUGAAUCAGGAACAAGGGCUAUUAGCUCAGGUGGUUAGAGCGCACCCCUGAUAAGGGUGAGGUCCCUGGUUCGAGUCCAGGAUGGCCCACCUGCACAGGUGGCAAAAACAAAGAAAAAAGGCUCCGAAUCAGCACCUUAUCUUACUUAUAUAGUAAGAGAGAAUGCUGGCUCUGAGUACAGAGUCCAGAGGAACCUUGAAAACUGCAUAGAGCUAGGUGAAAAAGCCAAAAAAGAAGACCGUUA
RNAcentral lists this transfer RNA (363 nucleotides) under Microcystis sp. BrG05. RNAcentral describes it as "16S-23S ribosomal RNA intergenic spacer". The stretch from base 135 to 208 matches the Rfam family "tRNA". The record is from RNAcentral. Lineage: Bacteria; Bacillati; Cyanobacteriota; Cyanophyceae; Chroococcales; Microcystaceae.